AACGAACGCUGGCGGCAUGCCUAACACAUGCAAGUCGAACGAGACCUUCGGGUCUAGUGGCGCACGGGUGCGUAACGCGUGGGAACCUGCCCUUAGGUUCGGAAUAACUCCCCGAAAGGGGUGCUAAUACCGGAUAAUGUCUUCGGACCAAAGAUUUAUCGCCUUUGGAUGGGCCCGCGUUGGAUUAGCGAGUUGGUAGGGUAAAAGCCUACCAAGGCGACGAUCCAUAGCUGGUCUGAGAGGAUGAUCAGCCACACUGGGACUGAGACACGGCCCAGACUCCUACGGGAGGCAGCAGUGGGGAAUAUUGGACAAUGGGCGAAAGCCUGAUCCAGCAAUGCCGCGUGAGUGAUGAAGGCCUUAGGGUUGUAAAGCUCUUUUACCCGAGAUGAUAAUGACAGUACCGGGAGAAUAAGCACCGGCUAACUCCGUG
This 433-nucleotide ribosomal RNA is filed under the name uncultured bacterium. RNAcentral describes it as "partial 16S ribosomal RNA". It matches the Rfam family "Bacterial small subunit ribosomal RNA", at positions 29 to 507 of the family's 1533-position model. The record is from RNAcentral.